This 263-nucleotide ribosomal RNA is filed under the name uncultured Oscillospiraceae bacterium. Its description in RNAcentral is "partial 16S ribosomal RNA". It matches the Rfam family "Bacterial small subunit ribosomal RNA", at positions 77 to 339 of the family's 1533-position model. The record is from RNAcentral. Lineage: Bacteria; Bacillati; Bacillota; Clostridia; Eubacteriales; Oscillospiraceae.
UGAAACCAGAUAUGACUUAGUGGCGGACGGGUGAGUAACACGUGAGCAACCUGCCUUUCAGAGGGGGAUAACGGCUGGAAACGGUCGCUAAUACCGCAUGACACAUUGGAGUCGCAUGGCUCUGAUGUCAAAGAUUUAUCGCUGAAAGAUGGCCUCGCGUCUGAUUAGCUAGUUGGUGAGGUAACGGCCCACCAAGGCGACGAUCAGUAGCCGGACUGAGAGGUUGACCGGCCACAUUGGGACUGAGACACGGCCCAAACUCC